Pipra filicauda (Wire-tailed manakin) is the source of this 700-nucleotide long non-coding RNA. RefSeq lists it as uncharacterized. The record is from RefSeq and is a predicted model, not a curated record. NCBI's taxonomy places the organism in Eukaryota, Metazoa, Chordata, Aves, Passeriformes, Pipridae. The transcript is spliced from 3 exons.
GCGUGAUGAGGACGAUCAGGAAAGGCAACGCUCCGAGCGCACUGCUGUUGUGAGAACUAUUCAUGCAGGCUCUGAAUCUUCACUAGUAAGUCCACAAUACGGAUUCUGUUUUCAUCUUGAACCUCUCAGUUCUUUGCAAUUAACACCAAGAUCCCAAAUGCUGCCUCCUGUACAUUUCACAGCAAGAAGUUAUUUAUAGAACCCGAUGGUUUAGAUUAAGCAAAACUCUGCUGAAACUGGAGGAUGCAGUUACACCAAAUUCUGAGGACAAAAGUGAGAAGCAGUUGCACUUCUUGGAGGAAUUAGAACCUGUCACACAUUGUAGCUCACAUGGCAAAGCAGAUGAUGGAUGCAAAUGGAGUUUGCUGGGACCUGAACACUGACGUGGCCCAAGCAAUCUGCAAUCAACCUCACAAGAUUCAGUCGUCUUACUGUAUUGGGCAGCAGUGCACCAGCUCCUCAGGCACCGCUAGGAAUGGGAUGGACAUCCUUAAAAAAAAAUCUCAGGAUUCCUCACAGCAGCUGCCAGCAAUGAUGCAAGAUUUACUAACAAGACAAGUUUUAACUGAAUUCCAUACAAUACUCAAUAAUACAAUCACCGUACCACCCGUUUUGGCAUUUCAUAUUAAAAUGAUGUUACCCUUAAAUAUUUUUCAGUGUGCCACAUAUUAUGGCAUGGGAAUAAUGACCAUAAAAGUUG